ACGAACGCUGGCGGCGUGCCUAAUCCCUGCAAGUAGCACGCUGAAGGAGGAGCUUGCUUCUCUGGAUGAGUUGCGAACGGGUGAGUAACGCGUAGGUAACCUGCCUGGUAGCGGGGGAUAACUAUUGGAAACGAUAGCUAAUACCGCAUAAUAGUAGAUGUUGCAUGACAUUUGCUUAAAAGGUGCAAUUGCAUCACUACCAGAUGGACCUGCGUUGUAUUAGCUAGUUGGUGGGGUAACGGCUCACCAAGGCGACGAUACAUAGCCGACCUGAGAGGGUGAUCGGCCACACUGGGACUGAGACACGGCCCAGACUCCUACGGGAGGCAGCAGUAGGGAAUCUUCGGCAAUGGACGGAAGUCUGACCGAGCAACGCCGCGUGAGUGAAGAAGGUUUUCGGAUCGUAAAGCUCUGUUGUAAGAGAAGAACGAGUGUGAGAGUGGAAAGUUCACACUGUGACGGUAUCUUACCAGAAAGGGACGGCUAACUACGUG
Molecule: ribosomal RNA, 494 nt
Filed under: uncultured bacterium
Lineage: Bacteria
Description: partial 16S ribosomal RNA
Rfam family: Bacterial small subunit ribosomal RNA
Source: RNAcentral